This 670-nucleotide ribosomal RNA is filed under the name uncultured ciliate. RNAcentral's name for it is "SSU rRNA". It matches the Rfam family "Eukaryotic small subunit ribosomal RNA", at positions 326 to 1012 of the family's 1831-position model. The record is from RNAcentral. Lineage: Eukaryota; Ciliophora.
UGGUAGUGUAUUGGACUACCAUGGCAGUCACGGGUAACGGAGAAUUAGGGUUCGAUUCCGGAGAGGGAGCCUGAGAAACGGCUACCACAUCUACGGAAGGCAGCAGGCGCGUAAAUUACCCAAUCCCAAUUCGGGGAGGUAGUGACAAGAAAUAACAACUCGGGCGGCGCAAGCCGUUGCGAGAUUGCAAUGGGUACAAUUUAAAACACUUAACGAGUAACAAUUGGAGGGCAAGUCUGGUGCCAGCAGCCGCGGUAAUUCCAGCUCCAAUAGCGUAUAUUAAAGUUGUUGCAGUUAAAAAGCUCGUAGUCGAAGUUCUGGCUGGCCCUGUUUCCGGCUCCGGUCGACUCAGGGCCUAGUCAUCCGUCGGAGAACCCUUUCGUCCUUUACUGGUCGCUUGGGGGAACUGACCCUUUACUUUGAAAAAAUUAGAGUGUUUCAGGCAGGCUCUCGCCCGAAUACUCCAGCAUGGAAUAAUGGAAUAGGACUUUCUUCUAUUUUGUUGGUUAUUAGUGGAAAGUAAUGAUUAAUAGGGACAGUUGGGGGCAUUCGUACUUAAUUGUCAGAGGUGAAAUUCUUGGAUUUAUUAAAGACGAACUAUUGCGAAAGCAUUUGCCAAGGAUGUUUUCAUUGAUCAAGAACGAAAGUUAGGGGAUCAAAGACGAUCAGA